UAAAUAUAACCAUGAGACCGAUAGUAAACAAGUACCGUGAGGGAAAGUUGAAAAGAACUCUGAAUAGAGAGUUAAAUAGUACGUGAAACUGCUUAGAGGUUAAGCCCGAUGAACCUGAAUAUCCAAUAUAGAAAAUUCAUCAUUAUGACUCUAAUAUUUUUAAAUAUUAUAAUAAUAGUGUGCAUUUUUUCUAUAGAGGACAUUGUAAUCUAUUGAUAUAAAAGAAAUUUAUUAUAAGAUCGAUUGCGCAAGUUUAUUCAAAUUAUUUUGUUUACAAUUUAACAUAGAAUAAAUGCUCUCGAUUUGAUANANUGUUGAUAGAUU
Molecule: ribosomal RNA, 324 nt
Filed under: Blepharipa albicauda
Lineage: Eukaryota; Metazoa; Arthropoda; Insecta; Diptera; Tachinidae
Description: partial 28S ribosomal RNA
Rfam family: Eukaryotic large subunit ribosomal RNA
Source: RNAcentral